RNAcentral lists this ribosomal RNA (1369 nucleotides) under uncultured bacterium. Its description in RNAcentral is "bacterial SSU rRNA". It matches the Rfam family "Bacterial small subunit ribosomal RNA", at positions 28 to 1381 of the family's 1533-position model. The record is from RNAcentral.
GACGAACGCUGGCGGCGUGCCUAAUACAUGCAAGUAGAACGCUGAAGAGAGGAGCUUGCUCUUCUUGGAUGAGUUGCGAACGGGUGAGUAACGCGUAGGUAACCUGCCUUGUAGCGGGGGAUAACUAUUGGAAACGAUAGCUAAUACCGCAUAACAAUGGAUGACACAUGUCAUUUAUUUGAAAGGGGCAAUUGCUCCACUACAAGAUGGACCUGCGUUGUAUUAGCUAGUAGGUGAGGCAACGGCUCACCUAGGCGACGAUACAUAGCCGACCUGAGAGGGUGAUCGGCCACACUGGGACUGAGACACGGCCCAGACUCCUACGGGAGGCAGCAGUAGGGAAUCUUCGGCAAUGGGGGCAACCCUGACCGAGCAACGCCGCGUGAGUGAAGAAGGUUUUCGGAUCGUAAAGCUCUGUUGUAAGUCAAGAACGAGUGUGAGAGUGGAAAGUUCACACUGUGACGGUAGCUUACCAGAAAGGGACGGCUAACUACGUGCCAGCAGCCGCGGUAAUACGUAGGUCCCGAGCGUUGUCCGGAUUUAUUGGGCGUAAAGCGAGCGCAGGCGGUUUGAUAAGUCUGAAGUUAAAGGCUGUGGCUCAACCAUAGUUCGCUUUGGAAACUGUCAAACUUGAGUGCAGAAGGGGAGAGUGGAAUUCCAUGUGUAGCGGUGAAAUGCGUAGAUAUAUGGAGGAACACCGGUGGCGAAAGCGGCUCUCUGGUCUGUAACUGACGCUGAGGCUCGAAAGCGUGGGGAGCGAACAGGAUUAGAUACCCUGGUAGUCCACGCCGUAAACGAUGAGUGCUAGGUGUUGGAUCCUUUCCGGGAUUCAGUGCCGCAGCUAACGCAUUAAGCACUCCGCCUGGGGAGUACGACCGCAAGGUUGAAACUCAAAGGAAUUGACGGGGGCCCGCACAAGCGGUGGAGCAUGUGGUUUAAUUCGAAGCAACGCGAAGAACCUUACCAGGUCUUGACAUCCCGAUGCUAUUUCUAGAGAUAGAAAGUUACUUCGGUACAUCGGUGACAGGUGGUGCAUGGUUGUCGUCAGCUCGUGUCGUGAGAUGUUGGGUUAAGUCCCGCAACGAGCGCAACCCCUAUUGUUAGUUGCCAUCAUUCAGUUGGGCACUCUAGCGAGACUGCCGGUAAUAAACCGGAGGAAGGUGGGGAUGACGUCAAAUCAUCAUGCCCCUUAUGACCUGGGCUACACACGUGCUACAAUGGUUGGUACAACGAGUUGCGAGUCGGUGACGGCAAGCUAAUCUCUUAAAGCCAAUCUCAGUUCGGAUUGUAGGCUGCAACUCGCCUACAUGAAGUCGGAAUCGCUAGUAAUCGCGGAUCAGCACGCCGCGGUGAAUACGUUCCCGGGCCU